UUUUUUGCAAUUUCUCUCUUAAAUACUUCAUUCUUCAUUGAUGUUUUGAUUCGUUUUAGUAAUAAUUUUGAUUCAUUUAUAAAAGAUAUUCAUAUUCUCUUCUUCUUUUCUAUAACCAGCUUUCUUUAAAAUCCCAACAUCUAUAUAUAUAUAUAUAUAUGGUAUUUCUUGCUUUAUAAAUACAGAUUAUACCAGUAUUAAAUUUGGGCUUUCUUGGUUCUUGACUUCGUCUUUCAUUUAUUUAGAUUUCUUUGAAUUUUUUUUCAGCCUACGAACUCGAAUCAUCAACAGCAUCAGCUACACGAAAAUGGAAGUUUAGUGAGUGGCCACGGACUUCUUUCUCACCAACUUCAACCUUACCCACCAAACCCUAACCCUAACUACCACCAUGCCGCUGCCUCCAGUGGUCUUCCAGCGAGGCUUGGUGGAUCCAUGGCUGAGAGAGCGAGGCAGGCCAAAGCUCCUCCGCCUGAGGGAGCCCGAAAGUGUCCUCGAUGCGACUCCCUCAACACCAAGUUCUGUUACUACAAUAACUACAACCUCACUCAGCCUCGCUACUUCUGCAAGGGUUGCCGUCGUUACUGGACACAUGGCGGCGCUCAGAGGAACGUCCCCGUGGGCGGAGGCAGCCGGAGGAAUAGCAAAAAGGGCAAAAAUGGUAAUUCAAAAUCUUCUUCUUCUUCGUCCAAACAGUCUUCUUCCACGGUCAACGCUCCAAGUUCUAACUCAGGACAGCUGAAGACAAACCAUCAGUUCCCGUUUUUACCAACUCUUCACAAUCUCACUCAACUCGGAGGUAUCGGUUUAAAUUUAGCUGCAACUAAUGGCAAUUAUUGCCAAGCUCACCAGAUUGGUCCGAGUUUAAUGAACGAUCUAGGGUUUCUUCAUGUCGGAAAUGGACGAACCGGAAACAUUCAUGACAACAACAAUAACAGCGGUGAAAACAACCUAAUGGCUGCUGCUGGAUCAAUGAAUCAGUUCACUCUCUUCGAUCCAGCAACUGGCCUACACGCUUUCCAGAACGAGAGCAAUAUAGGAAACAAUUUUGGAAUAUCUUUUUCCUCUACUUCCAUGGUUGAUUCUAGGGCUUACCAGACAACCCCAGUGAAGAUGGAAGAACAACCCAGUUUGGUUAACUUGUCUAGACCGGUCUCUAGUUUGACGCCUCCGGGGAAUCAAACAAACCAGUACUUUUGGACCAAUUCGGAUUUAUCGGGUCCUUCUUCUAAAGAUCAUCACCAACUCUUGUGAGAUUUUGUGUGUUUGUUAAUGUAUGUUUACGACGUGGAGGUUGAUUUAAAUGACUACGAACGGUCAUGAUCAAAUGCAUGCAGAGUACGUGUGUGGGACAAUGAUCGUGGAGAAGUAAUGAUACAAACUAAAAGGUGUCUUAGUAAGAGUUGGUGGUUCUACAACUUAAUCAGACUGUAUAGUAAAAGCUAAGGAUAAUUCAUAAAGUAAAAAAGGGGUUGCUGACAAAAGAACUUGGAUCAUACAAAUCCGUGUCUCGCUGGAUGCUGCGUUAUAAAACUCCCAAAAUACUCUUUUCUCAUAUUUUAAGGAGCUUCUUUUUCUUUUGCAGUCUUCUUGUACGAAUCUGUGUGUCAGUCUGUUUUGUGUGGGUGCAUGAUCCUCUUAAAUCUUUUGCAAACAUGUAUAUAUCUCUCCCUAUAUAUAAACAUUAAUACUAUAAAUGAAGUAUAAACUUUCUGCAUGGAUUAAAAGCCACUUACGUAUAGUUUAAUUGACUACCCAUAAUUGAUUUACUGUAAUAAAGAGUAACUAGCCAGGAAACAGGCGAGUAUAUAUCUAUUCCUUCUAAUCAGUAUACGUGAAUGGUAGAGUCUAAUGUUAGUUUGGAUGUUGCAUUUGAACUAAAGGAUCUGAAACUUAUAUAACACCGCGUUAGUAAAAAUUUUUUUUGAAACCCACCGUGUUAGUAGUUUGUAAUGAAAACAAUAAUUUUCCAAUGAUGCAAAAUAUAAAACGAUAGUAACAAAAAGUGGAGAAUAUAAUGGAGAAAACGUUAAACCAAGAUUGACACGGAAAACAUGCAUGCAGAGAUUUGUAUGUCCUGACCUGGAGGACCACCACAUAACUUUUAAUUUAUGAUAGUCCCACUUCUUAACGGUAGGGUUAAAACACUUGUGAAAUGCUUUUUUGACUACCUUUUUCUUUUACUGGUGACUGUUUUCCUAAAAUUAAACUGUACAUAAAAAGUAUACACGACAUGAUAUAAGACUGUUUUUAUGUUUGUAAACUAGUGCUUCGAAACUAUUUUAGCAGAAAACUCUUGUAGUUUUGAGCAAACAAGAUAAGAGAAUGAUAUAAAUAACAUACUAGAUUUUCUAUACUAAAGCACUUGAUUUUCUUAUGAGUCCCUAUGAUACUAGAAUCACUCAACUCCCCAUUAAGCCACCAAUCUCUCUUCUGACUUUCAACUGUUCCAGAAGAAAUUCUAGCGUUCCUUAUACAUCAGAUUCAGAAUGGGGCCUUGAUUAUUAUCAGCAUACACAUCCACGAAUGUAAGUACAUUUAGUAUUUACGCAUUUGAUUUCUCUUUUGUCGUACUUCCAAAGUCAGUUUUCUAACGAGUUGGCAAUAUAAUAUGAAUAGCCUGGAGACAGAAAUUUAGAAAUGUAUAGAACUAGGAUGAUGAUACUAUUUACGUGAAUUUAACAAAAUGAUGAACCGUCCAUGCUAGGAUUAUGAUGAAUCCGAUUGACGUGUGAGUGGUAAUAGAUCUUAGAUACAAAAUCAAUGCUUUGGAAGUUUAGGAACACAGCCCUUGUUAAUGUGGUUCGAUUCUUCUUUAGGUUUAAGAGUGGGGGAGUUGAGAUAAGGAGGGUAAGAAUAUAAAGGACAAAUAAAUUGCAUUAAACAUAAAAUUCUAAAUUAAUGAAUACCAAGUUCCCUGUAAUGCAAGAAACAGUACAGAAAGAAACAAAUAAGAAGCCAUAGAAUUUGAA
RNA transcript from Brassica napus (rape), 2969 nucleotides. It is a transcript of the gene named dof zinc finger protein DOF1.1, with no coding region annotated. The transcript has 2 exons. NCBI's taxonomy places the organism in Eukaryota, Viridiplantae, Streptophyta, Magnoliopsida, Brassicales, Brassicaceae. The record is from RefSeq and is a predicted model, not a curated record.